UGGGGAUGCUUCCGCAAUGGACGAAAGUCUGACGGAGCAACGCCGCGUGAGUGAUGACGGCCUUCGGGUUGUAAAGCUCUGUUAAUCGGGACGAAUGGUUCUUGUGCAAAUAGUGCGAGGAUUUGACGGUACCGGAAUAGAAAGCCACGGCUAACUACGUGCCAGCAGCCGCGGUAAUACGUAGGUGGCAAGCGUUGUCCGGAAUUAUUGGGCGUAAAGGGCGCGCAGGUGGAUUGGUCAGUCUGUCUUAAAAGUUCGGGGCUUAACCCCGUGGUGAGAUGGGAACUGCCAAUCUAGAGUAUCGGAGAGGAAAGUGGAAUUCCUAGUGUAGCGGGGAAAUGCAUAGAUAUUAGGAAGAACACCCAUGGCGAAGGCGACUUUCUGGACGAAAACUGACGCUGGGUCGCGAAAGCAAGGGGGGCGAACAAG
This 429-nucleotide ribosomal RNA is filed under the name bacterium. RNAcentral describes it as "partial 16S ribosomal RNA". It matches the Rfam family "Bacterial small subunit ribosomal RNA", at positions 355 to 776 of the family's 1533-position model. The record is from RNAcentral.